AACGCACAUUGCGCCCCUUGGUAUUCCGGGGGGCAUGCCUGUUCGAGCGUCAUUUCAACCCUCACGCGUAGCGUGGUCUUGGGCUCUGCCGGCAACGGCUGGCCUUAAAAUCAGUGGCGGUGCCAUCGGGCUCUACGCGUAGUAAUAAACCCCUCGCGUGUGAGUCUCGGCGGUCGCUUGCCAGCAACCCCCAAUUUUCUAUGGUUGACCUCGAAUCAGGUAGGGAUACCCGCUGAACUUAA
RNAcentral lists this unclassified non-coding RNA (242 nucleotides) under uncultured fungus. RNAcentral describes it as "sequence contains ITS2". The record is from RNAcentral. Lineage: Eukaryota; Fungi.